This 269-nucleotide ribosomal RNA is filed under the name uncultured bacterium. RNAcentral's name for it is "partial 16S ribosomal RNA". It matches the Rfam family "Bacterial small subunit ribosomal RNA", at positions 524 to 776 of the family's 1533-position model. The record is from RNAcentral.
UACGAAGGGGGCUAGCGUUGCUCGGAAUCACUGGGCGUAAAGGGCGCGUAGGCGGCCAUUCAAGUCAGAAGGUGGAAAGCCCCAAGGCUCAACCUUGGAACUGCCUUUGAUACUGUUUGGCUUGAGACCGGUAGAGGGUAAGUGGAACUGCGAGUGUAGAGGUGAAAUUCGUAGAUAUUCGCAAAGAACGACCAGUGGCGGAAGGCGGAGCUUGACCUUGGACCGGUUCGUGGACGCUGAGGCGGCGAAAAGCGUGGGGAGCAAACAGG